This 72-nucleotide transfer RNA is filed under the name Pangasianodon hypophthalmus (striped catfish). It matches the Rfam family "tRNA". Rfam says of the family: Transfer RNA (tRNA) molecules are approximately 80 nucleotides in length. Their secondary structure includes four short double-helical elements and three loops (D, anti-codon, and T loops). Further hydrogen bonds mediate the characteristic L-shaped molecular structure. tRNAs have two regions of fundamental functional importance: the anti-codon, which is responsible for specific mRNA codon recognition, and the 3' end, to which the tRNAs corresponding amino acid is attached (by aminoacyl-tRNA synthetases). tRNAs cope with the degeneracy of the genetic code in two manners: having more than one tRNA (with a specific anti-codon) for a particular amino acid; and 'wobble' base-pairing, i.e. permitting non-standard base-pairing at the 3rd anti-codon position. The record is from Rfam by way of RNAcentral. Lineage: Eukaryota; Metazoa; Chordata; Actinopteri; Siluriformes; Pangasiidae.
UCCCUGGAGGACUAGAGGUUAGGCCACAGGCCUGUCAUUCCUGUGGCCUGGAUUCGAUUCCUGGCCAGGGAA